Molecule: ribosomal RNA, 820 nt
Filed under: Arthrobacter sp.
Lineage: Bacteria; Bacillati; Actinomycetota; Actinomycetes; Micrococcales; Micrococcaceae
Description: bacterial SSU rRNA
Rfam family: Bacterial small subunit ribosomal RNA
Source: RNAcentral
CGUGCUUACACAUGCAAGUCGAACGAUGAUCUCCAGCUUGCUGGGGGGAUUAGUGGCGAACGGGUGAGUAACACGUGAGUAACCUGCCCUUGACUCUGGGAUAAGCCUGGGAAACUGGGUCUAAUACCGGAUACGACCGUCCCGCGCAUGCGGUGGUGGUGGAAAGCUUUUGCGGUUUUGGAUGGACUCGCGGCCUAUCAGCUUGUUGGUGGGGUAAUGGCCUACCAAGGCGACGACGGGUAGCCGGCCUGAGAGGGUGACCGGCCACACUGGGACUGAGACACGGCCCAGACUCCUACGGGAGGCAGCAGUGGGGAAUAUUGCACAAUGGGCGAAAGCCUGAUGCAGCGACGCCGCGUGAGGGAUGACGGCCUUCGGGUUGUAAACCUCUUUCAGUAGGGAAGAAGCGAAAGUGACGGUACCUGCAGAAGAAGCGCCGGCUAACUACGUGCCAGCAGCCGCGGUAAUACGUAGGGCGCAAGCGUUAUCCGGAAUUAUUGGGCGUAAAGAGCUCGUAGGCGGUUUGUCGCGUCUGCUGUGAAAGACCGGGGCUCAACUCCGGUUCUGCAGUGGGUACGGGCAGACUAGAGUGAUGUAGGGGAGACUGGAAUUCCUGGUGUAGCGGUGAAAUGCGCAGAUAUCAGGAGGAACACCGAUGGCGAAGGCAGGUCUCUGGGCAUUAACUGACGCUGAGGAGCGAAAGCAUGGGGAGCGAACAGGAUUAGAUACCCUGGUAGUCCAUGCCGUAAACGUUGGGCACUAGGUGUGGGGGACAUUCCACGUUUUCCGCGCCGUAGCUAACGCAUUAAGUGCCCCGCCU